CCCUACGGGGAGAUCAGUUGCGGGAAGAACAGUUGGUCGAAUAUAUCUACCUGGGCAUUCUGGCCAUGGAGAAAAACAAGUGAGCGUCAUCGAAUAUGAUGUCAUUGUCAUUGGCGCGGGCGUGGCGGGACUAACUGCGGGUUCCUGGCUUUCCGGACAAGGCUUAAAAGUGGCGCUGGUCACUACGGGAGAGCCAACCGCCUGUCUGUCCACCGGUUGCAUCGAUGUCUGCGCACAAAACGAGGAUCCCUUGCAGGGGAUUGCUCAUCUGCCUGCCGAACAUCCCUUUCAUCUGGUUUCCAAUGCAACAAUCCAUCAAGCGCUCAAUGAUUUUCAACAAAUCAUGACUGACAUGGGCAUGUCCUAUACGGGAGGGC
Molecule: ribosomal RNA, 377 nt
Filed under: uncultured prokaryote
Description: partial 16S ribosomal RNA
Source: RNAcentral